Molecule: ribosomal RNA, 523 nt
Filed under: Sceptrophasma hispidulum
Lineage: Eukaryota; Metazoa; Arthropoda; Insecta; Phasmatodea; Diapheromeridae
Description: partial 28S large subunit ribosomal RNA
Source: RNAcentral
UACGUGAAACCGUUCAGGGGUAAACGGGAGAAAUCCUGAAUUCGAAAGGGAUUGGAUUCAACUGCAUCCGGCAAUUUCAGGCUGCCUCCCGCCAGAUGUCGCUGGUCGCCCGCGGCGAUUCAUUUCGCUUGCGGUGUCGUUCCCGGCGUUCACUCGGCGGUGUGGUGUAUCGCUCUGGAGUGGGAGCAGUGCACUUCCUCCCUAGUAGAAACGUCGCGACCCGUUGGGUGCCGGUCAAAGGCCCGGGCAGGCAGCCCGUGCGUCCCGCGGCUUAACCGUCGCGGUCGCGCGGACGUCCGGUGACCCGGCCGGCUGCCCGACGGUAUGACCAGAGGAGUCGAUCCGCUGAAAGAGAAGCACUUGGGUUCUGUGCAGCGUCCGGCCCGGCGCCGUCGCGUGCGGGGAAGCCGACCCAGGUCGGUGUGGGUGUCCGUGCGGCGUCACGGCCCUGGCCCCGUUUCGCGUCGGAUGUUCGGUGUCCUCGGACCGGAUCAGCACUCCCGUCGGCGACGCCCACCUUCGG